CUGCUUUUUACAAAAAUUUGCAUUUCUCAUAAACACGGUCUCACAUAUAUAUUUUGUAUCAUAAUCUUUAUAUUUUACAUGAACGCAUUAGAGUUAAAGGUCCAAAAGGCAAUUACUUUGUUGUUCCACUAUGGCAGAGUUAUUUUUAAACACUGAACACAUUUCAGUAACCUGUUUACGAGUCACUCUCCCGAGAGCUUUUAAAACCUUAGAUACUAGAGUUUUGUUAUCAACUGUCAAAUUACUUCAUUCAUAAUAACGGCUACUUUGUAGUCACUAAGAAUUAUAACUGCAGCGGUAACAUUAGUUACAUUAAAAACAUUCAUUGAUGAUGCAAAUUUGUUUUAAAAUCAAUUAUGUCAUUUAUUUGUCAGAAUCUUUGCCAGAACACCAAAACCACUAUCAGCAUAAGUUGAUUUUGUUUUGCCAAAUCCAUCAAAUACCACAUCUAUAUUUGUAUCUUAAAAAGUCUGUUUGUUGUAUAAAACCUGAAACGAAAUAAAAUGUUGAAGCACA
Molecule: long non-coding RNA, 516 nt
Filed under: Mytilus galloprovincialis (Mediterranean mussel)
Lineage: Eukaryota; Metazoa; Mollusca; Bivalvia; Mytilida; Mytilidae
Source: RNAcentral